GGGACCUCAGAGCCCUCCCUGGAAACCUCCCACCCAGAGUGGGUGGGAGCCCUCCCCUCUCAGGGCCCCCAAACCUGCUCCCCUGUGUGUGGGGUACAGUGAUCAACCACCGAAGCAGCUGCCAUUCCUAACAACCCAACAGCUAUGGGCUCAGUCCAGGCCUCUGGGCUGCCAACCUUGUCGAGAAAAGAAGAGUGGAACUGUUCUCCAGUCACUGUUGCCACACUUAAAAAAAAAACUUUUUCCUGAAGCGUGUAUUCAGAAAAGACCGCCAAUCAUAAGCGUACAGUUUGACACGUUUUCACAAGGGGCACGUGAUGUCAUCAGCACCCAGAUGAAGGAAUGGGAGGAUGCCAGAGGCCUGAAGCCCCCGGCCCCUGUUUCUGUUUCUAGUUACUUCCCCCUAGGCGACCCCUUCCGGUAUUCCUGGGCCUCCCUGGUGACUCAGCUAGUAAAGAAUCCCCCUGCAAUGAGGGAGACCUGGGUUCGAUCCCUGAGUUGGGAAGAUACCCUGGAGAAGGGAACAGCUACCCACUCCAGUAUUCUGGCCUGGAGAAUUCCAUGGACAGAGGAGCCUGGCAGGCUGCAGUCCAUAGCAUUGCAAAGAGUCAAACACGCCUGAGCGACUUUCAUUUUUCCCCCCUACUAAGAGUAAUUAUCUUGUGACUUCUAACACCAUGGAUUAGCUUCUCCCAUUUUUGAACUUCAUAUUAGUGGAAUCAUAUAAGAUCUUUUCAUCUGUACCUGGUUUCCUUUGCUCAACAUUAUCUGUGAGAUUCUUCAUAUUAUUCCUUUUUUUUUUUUUUUUUGGCCACCCCUGCCUCACAGCUUGUGGGAUCUUAGUUCCCGGACCAGAGAUCAAACUGGGGCCUCCAGCAGUGGGAGUGCAGGGUCCUAACCACUGGACCACCAGGGAAUUUCCUGUAUUAAUUUUGUGGAUGCUUAACAAAGGUCCGUCUAGUCAAGGCUAUGGUUUUUCCAGUGGUCAUGUAUGGAUGUGAGAGUUGGACUGUGAAGAAAGCUGAGUGCCAAAGAAUUGAUGCUUUUGAACUGUGGUGUUGGAGAAGACUCUUGAGAGUCCCUUGGACUGCAAGGAGAUCCAACCAGUCCAUUCUGAAGGAGAUCAGUCCUAGUUGUUCUUUGGAAGGACUGAUGCUGAAGCUGAAACUCCAAUACUUUGGCCACCUCAUGUGAAGAGUUGACUCAUUGGAAAAGACUGAUGCUGGGAGGGAUUGGGGGCAGGAGGAGAAGGGGACGACAGAGGAUGAGAUGGCUGGAUGGCAUCACUGACUCGAUGAACAUGAGUUUGAGUGAACUCCGGGAGCUGGUGAUGGACAGGGAGGCCUGGCGUGCUGUGAUUCAUGGGGUCGCAAAGAAUCGGACACGACUGAGUGACUGAACUAAACUGAACUGAACACUCCAUUAUACGAACAUAGCACUGUUGAUUUAUCCAUCCUACUGUUGAUGAUCAGAGUUGCCUCUAGUGGAGGCUAUUGUGAGUAGCACUGCCACGGACACUCCACUGUUUAAAAUUUGGUGCACAUAAGUACUCAUAUUUUAAUCUACCCCAAGGGGUGCAACCUCUGAGUCAUGAUGUAUGCAUUUUGUAGAUUUUGCCAAAUAGUUUAGGAAAGUAGUUGUACCACUAGAAAUACACAUGACUGAGGGACUAGAAAUGGAUGAACCUCCUCACCAACAUUUGAUAUUGUCAGUCUUUUAAAUUUUAUCCCUUCCCUGGGGAUGAAGCGCUAUCUCACUGAAUUUGCAUUUCCCUGAUGACUAAUGGUGUGGAGCACCUUUUCAUGGGCUUAUUGGCCACUUGGAUGGCUUCUUGUGAAGUGCCUGUCUAAAUCUUUUUUUUUUUUCUGUUUAAAUCUUUUCCUCAUUUUUCUAUUGGAUUGUCCACCUUUUUCUUAUUGAUCUUCUGUAGUUUCUUUUUUGUAUUCUAGAUGUGCACUGACUCUGCUCUUAACUUCAGCCAAUUAUUUUUGCAAAUGAGUGCAUUUGAUCCCAAGGGGGAAGGAGUGUCUCUUUAAUGGGAAGCCACAUCACAGAGGGGCUGGUGAGUCCACUUGUCAUGUUCGUAAUCAGGUUCCCUGUUGCUCUAGAAAAGUGGUCCAAGUGUCUGGGACCACCUGUUGAAGGAAACAGGGCAAAAGAGGGCAGGCCCAGUAGCCUGAGUAGGGGACUGUGAGUUUCCUUGUCAGAAAUCCUGAACCUGGGCACUGGCCUUACCACUUCUGAACGUGUGAUGUUGGAGAAGUCACUAAGCCUUCCUAAGCAUUUAUUCCCUUCUCAAGGAAAUAAAGAUAAUAAUACCCAUUUCA
Bos indicus x Bos taurus (hybrid cattle) is the source of this 2327-nucleotide long non-coding RNA. NCBI's taxonomy places the organism in Eukaryota, Metazoa, Chordata, Mammalia, Artiodactyla, Bovidae. The record is from Ensembl.